GUUAAUCAUCGAAUCUUUGAACGCAAAUUGCACUCUCUGGUAUUCCGGAGCGGAAGGCUGGUUGAGGGUCAUUUUGAAUAAAUAUCGGUGUCGUUGCUGCCUUUCGUGCUUACGCACCGGAUUUGGGUCGUCUUUCCUUCGUUGAAGUGACCCAAAAUUUGCAUGAUUUUUUUCGAACGUAUUUUAUUUAUGUUACUUACGUUUGCGAUAUCGAAUAUUAGGCGUGGUGAUCUCCGUGGUUUG
This 243-nucleotide unclassified non-coding RNA is filed under the name Glomeraceae sp. Its description in RNAcentral is "partial internal transcribed spacer 2". The stretch from base 1 to 71 matches the Rfam family "5.8S ribosomal RNA", at positions 84 to 154 of the family's 154-position model. The record is from RNAcentral. Lineage: Eukaryota; Fungi; Glomeromycota; Glomeromycetes; Glomerales; Glomeraceae.